ACAAGCGGUGGAGCAUGUGGUUAAUUCGAUGCAACGCGAGAACCUUACCUGGCUUGACAUCCCGGGAAUCUCCUGGAACAGGAGAGUGCCUUUCGGGGAACCCGGAGACAGGUGCUGCAUGGCUGUCGUCAGCUCGUGUCGUGAGAUGUUGGGUUAAGUCCCGCAACGAGCGCAACCCUCGACCUUAGUUGCCAGCAUUCAGUUGGGCACUCUAAGGUGACUGCCGGCUAAAAGUCGGAGGAAGGUGGGGAUGACGUCAAAUCAUCAUGCCCCUUAUGACCUGGGCUACACACGUGCUACAAUGGGCGGUACAAAGGGUCGCGAACCCGCGAGGGGGAGCCAAUCCCAAAAAGCCGCUCUCAGUUCGGAUUGCAGGCUGCAACUCGCCUGCAUGAAGCCGGAAUCGCUAGUAAUCGCGGAUCCAGCAUGCCGCGGUGAAUACGUUCCCGGGCCUU
RNAcentral lists this ribosomal RNA (455 nucleotides) under uncultured Anoxybacillus sp. Its description in RNAcentral is "bacterial SSU rRNA". It matches the Rfam family "Bacterial small subunit ribosomal RNA", at positions 925 to 1382 of the family's 1533-position model. The record is from RNAcentral. Lineage: Bacteria; Bacillati; Bacillota; Bacilli; Caryophanales; Anoxybacillaceae.